CCCUUAGAUGUUCUGGGCCGCACGCGCGCUACACUGACUGACUCAACGAGUGUACAACCUGCUUCGACAGAAGUGGGUAAUCUUUUGAAAUUCAGUCGUGAUGGGGCUAGAUUAUUGCAACUAUUAAUCUUCAACGAGGAAUGCCUAGUAAGCGCAAGUCAUCAGCUUGCGUUGAUUACGUCCCUGCCCUUUGUACACACCGCCCGUCGCUCCUACCGAUUGGGUGCUCCGGUGAAUUGUUUGGACUGCUGUCAGUCUUUUUGGCUGUCGGCGAGAAGCUCUGUGAACCUUAGCACCUAGAGGAAGGAGAAGUCGUAACA
Molecule: ribosomal RNA, 320 nt
Filed under: uncultured eukaryote
Lineage: Eukaryota
Description: partial 18S ribosomal RNA
Rfam family: Eukaryotic small subunit ribosomal RNA
Source: RNAcentral